Molecule: transfer RNA, 76 nt
Filed under: Nevskiaceae bacterium
Lineage: Bacteria; Pseudomonadati; Pseudomonadota; Gammaproteobacteria; Nevskiales; Nevskiaceae
Description: tRNA-Lys
Rfam family: tRNA
About the family: Transfer RNA (tRNA) molecules are approximately 80 nucleotides in length. Their secondary structure includes four short double-helical elements and three loops (D, anti-codon, and T loops).
Source: RNAcentral
GGAUCGCGAACUCGAGUGGCAGAGUCCCGGACUCUUAAUCCGGCAAGUCGGCGUUCGAGCCGCCGGCGAUCCACCA